UUUUUGAUUAGUACAGUAGUUAAGUUUAAUGCAUCGCUGAUGUGGUAUCGUGAAGCAACACUUGUACUGUGCGGUGAAAAAUAAAAAAUCCUUUAUUUGGGUCCUGCAAAGUUGCAGAUAAGCAGCAAGUCUUUGCUGUUCAGAACAGAAGCUCUCAAAUGGUUUGGGUGCUAUGAGAUCGGCUUUGUGGAACAAGCAGCAUCCAUAAGAGUAUAUAAGUCAUAACUCUAUGCUGCCCCAGUAGAGAAGGUGGUUUGGGUAUAAAGAGGUUGGCCGUUGUUAAUAGGGCAAUAUUGAUGAAGUUAUGGGUGAGUAUUAGAUAUCUUACUAUAAUAAAUAAAAGACCCUUUUUUCGAUCGGAGAUUUGCUUUUUGGUUUGUAAGAAAAGACCCUUUUUUCGAUCGGAGAUUUGCUUUUUGGACUUCGAGAAUUCGAGACUAACCAAAAUCACCAGACAAAUAUGAUGGAGAAGUAAAUAAAAUUAACUUUAGAUCAUCACUCCAUCAUAAUUUCUUCCCUCUUUUUCUCUGAUUAUCGAAUCAACGAUGUGCUUAGUCGAUUUGGAUUCAAAUUCACUUAUGGAUCGUUUCAUCAAAAUUUCUUUCCUCUUCCUCUCUGAUUACCAGCUCAACAUCGUAUUUAUUUGAUGGAUUCACUGCUCCAUUUUAGUUUCUGCACUAAAGCUCCAGUCAUUUUUGCUUAUUUGUAUGCGAGGUUUGGUACUAGCCUAUUAGAAUACAUGCUUUCAACCGUUUCAAUUGAUGUCAUUUUCCUCCUACUGG
Molecule: long non-coding RNA, 782 nt
Organism: Papaver somniferum (opium poppy)
Lineage: Eukaryota; Viridiplantae; Streptophyta; Magnoliopsida; Ranunculales; Papaveraceae
Exons: 3
Source: RefSeq, a predicted model, not a curated record